CACUGCCACCACAGCUCAGUCCUGCCUCGCCAAGGUUGCGAAAGCACCUCGUAACCCUAAAUAAUGGCUUGCACUCGCCAGACAAUUGGCGGCAUCCCUGAAAGGAGGUCUUUCCAGGGCGCCCUCCCUCCUGAUCAAAAAGAGGCCCCGGCGCGGGUGCCUGAGCUGUGCCUGGAUAGGCCUGUCGUGGGCCGGUGGGGUCCCCAGCCCGCGCAUGCACGGCUGUGGGGCGUGAUCCGCUCACACCCCUGCCAAUUCCGGACAGCGGCCUGGCAGUGUGCUGCGUUUUCAGUCCCAUCCAACCGUCGCAUUG
This 313-nucleotide non-coding RNA is filed under the name Coccomyxa sp. LA000219. Lineage: Eukaryota; Viridiplantae; Chlorophyta; Trebouxiophyceae; Coccomyxaceae. The record is from RNAcentral.